UACGGAGGGUGCAAGCGUUAAUCGGAAUUACUGGGCGUAAAGCGCACGCAGGCGGUCUGUCAAGUCGGAUGUGAAAUCCCCGGGCUCAACCUGGGAACUGCAUCCGAAACUGGCAGGCUUGAGUCUUGUAGAGGGGGGUAGAAUUCCAGGUGUAGCGGUGAAAUGCGUAGAGAUCUGGAGGAAUACCGGUGGCGAAGGCGGCCCCCUGGACAAAGACUGACGCUCAGGUGCGAAAGCGUGGGGAGCAAACAGG
This 253-nucleotide ribosomal RNA is filed under the name uncultured bacterium. RNAcentral's name for it is "partial 16S ribosomal RNA". It matches the Rfam family "Bacterial small subunit ribosomal RNA", at positions 524 to 776 of the family's 1533-position model. The record is from RNAcentral.